Molecule: long non-coding RNA, 1472 nt
Organism: Lytechinus variegatus (green sea urchin)
Lineage: Eukaryota; Metazoa; Echinodermata; Echinoidea; Temnopleuroida; Toxopneustidae
Exons: 3
Source: RefSeq, a predicted model, not a curated record
ACGAAACUGGUAUAGGGCGUGUACGUGUACGAUCGACGGGUAUACAUUAUACCGGCAAAGCGCAUUCAGCCGGCAUUUAUAUUCACGAGUUUAGAGGAGAAACAACGAGCACUAGCUCUCUCAACCAGAUUUUGCUACUACCAAGUUUUAUCACUCGUUAACAAGCUACGGGACAGCAUUUUUAGCAGGGUUAGAAAGUACACUGCAAAACUUAGAUUCCAACGUUUAGAAUCUACCCAACAAUUUAAAAAGUUGUUCAGCUUCAUGAAAUACAGCAACUAUUUCUCGGUGAUGAUGGAAGUUUUGCCCGCAGAAACAGAUGUUCCCAACAGUGCCAGUAUUCCUUUCUCAUCGUGGAUGAUGGAGGACCAAGCUAAAGUUUUGAAAAAUGAUAUAAAAUUGAAGAAGCGUUCCAGGGGAAAACGCAAACCAAAGAGGAAGGAGAAUCGUCGGAGAGCAAGACCAGGAAAGUCACGAAGCGGUUUUCUGACAAUUGGUGCACCUUUCAACAAUAAUGAAUUUUUAAUUAACCAGAGAGAUGCCACAGUGAUCCAAAGAAAUCGGCAACCACUAGUCUGGGCCCAGAAGAAGGUCUCAUGGCCAAGAAUUGUGGACAAUGCUCUUCUCCACAUAGCACAAGUAGUAGUGGGGGUUCUGAAAGUACGUCCGACUAUGAAAGCCUUCAUUCACCUUCUGCAUCUAGCAGCAGCGGAUGUAGCGUUGAAGCCGAAUAUCCCCAAGAUGACAAGAUAAAUGAUGAAAUGUUUGACAUUGAUUUUGCCCUGCAGAACUUCGAAGCUGAUUACUCCGCUCAUCAAUGGGAGCUGAAAACACAGUUGAUGACAUUACCAAGACAGCAGCUGGAAAGCAGAUGUUCGCUUCUGAUGGACCAAGUGAAAGAUUUAGAAGAGAGGAUCGAAAAGAGGGUCGUAGGGCAUGUCCAGGAAUUGGAACUUGAAUUAGAAGCUCUGAGGAAGGAGAACAGAAGAUUGAAAAGGGUAUCUGCAGACCGUUCAACACCAGAAUGAAACAUCACAAGAGUGAUUUCAACAAGGAGGAAACAUUCCAGUCAAGAUUGGGAUUGAUGUUCGUCCUACGAUGCUCCUUUGGUUCAUCUUUGAGUGGAUGCAUGACGAUCAUUGGAAGUUCACCCUGAAGUUUUCGACUGCACGCACCAACAUGACAUUAUUAAAGGAAUUUCAGAGGUAAGGAGAUUACCAUCAAGGACACCAAAUAGCAGACGGGAUCGAUACUGCAUCAACAGCUCCCCGACAAUUUGCUCUCACCAAGAUGGCCUGCAGAGAGUGAGUGACAUCACACCACUGAAGUUGGCAACACUUUGGAAUGGUAUCAUGGUAUAAUUGCAUGUUCUUUUUAUGCCAUCUUCCCCAUUUCCUUACACUCUAAAAAACAAAGAGUUAAUUUAGCUCUUAGAGAGCAUGUAUAGUGACUGCUGAUUUGUCUAGUUCAAA